AAAGGGUAACAGAAAGCCCUUUUGGAAGUUUUUAAUGUUAUUUCUGCUAAAUUAGCAAUCCCUGCUUGCAAAAAUAAUUGAUUUCUCAUUCUUUAUAUUUCCAGCUUUUUGAAGGUCCCAUAGUGACGUUUCUGUGUAUUGCGUAAGCUCGGGUGCAUGCUGUGCAUUUUACGCAGCCAGGUGGUACCAGAGAAGACUAGCUAAUUCUUAAAACCCCCAUGAUUAUUAAAUUCAUUGUUUUUCUUUACUUCUGAAUGCCUGCAUCUUGAGUAAAACAUAUAUUUCCUUUUUAUAUUUUCUACAUUGAAGACUGUAUGAAAUGUGCAGGUCUAUAGGCAGCUGUAAGCAUGGUAUGACUUUCCACACAGCUGUAUGCACAUUCAUCUUAGAACAAAACACCACCACGAAUACAUGUGGAGGAAAUUAAGACUCUUUACUUGCAGUGUGCAGAAUACUGGUGCUGCUUUGUCACCUCAGUAAUGUGCUUCAAGGAGGGAAGAUUACCUCAGCAGCAAGGUAGCCCAGUCUUGGUGGUCCUACCAAAUCCAAGCUGCUUUCUUCUGAGACUUACGAUAGUGGCAGUAGUUGAUACCUCAGGUGAUGCAGGAAAGUGUUUAAUAUAUUGCCACUGUGACAGUCAUUUCACAUGAAUUGCAGAUUGCAGUUGAUCCCGUUGUGUCUCUGCAUCAGUCUUGGUCCGUUGCCUGCAAGUGGUCUGUUUGGCAUCAGAAGGUGGUCAACAGAGCAACUACAGUUUUAAAAUAAAAUGGAGCCAAACCAAAUAAAAAUGUCACAUACAUGUUCUGACACAUGCGAGCAAAGAAACAAGCUUA
Long non-coding RNA from Strigops habroptila (Kakapo), 833 nucleotides. RefSeq lists it as uncharacterized. The record is from RefSeq and is a predicted model, not a curated record. NCBI's taxonomy places the organism in Eukaryota, Metazoa, Chordata, Aves, Psittaciformes, Psittacidae. The transcript has 2 exons.